UGUCCAAUCAACGGAGAACAGGAAAGC
RNAcentral lists this non-coding RNA (27 nucleotides) under Homo sapiens (human). The record is from RNAcentral. Lineage: Eukaryota; Metazoa; Chordata; Mammalia; Primates; Hominidae.